Oncorhynchus tshawytscha (Chinook salmon) is the source of this 329-nucleotide long non-coding RNA. RefSeq lists it as uncharacterized. The record is from RefSeq and is a predicted model, not a curated record. The transcript has 2 exons. NCBI's taxonomy places the organism in Eukaryota, Metazoa, Chordata, Actinopteri, Salmoniformes, Salmonidae.
GGGGAGGCUGCUGCUGCAGAGGCUGCUGCACCGCUCGUGACUGUCAGUCCUCCUUGUAGCUCAUUGGUUAAGCUGUGGCUCGAGCCUGUUAACAGUUAACGGACAGGAAACGGCUCUGACAGGACACAUUCAUGUCGAGGCAGUGAUGUGAAUGUGUGACGGAAGAGAGAGAACAAAGGCUGAACCUUAACUUCCAAUGCCCCGCCCCCUCCACGCCACUCCGCCAACCACCAGGAUGCCCGGCAUCAGAACAUCCCAGGCAUUCCUGUGAUUGGCAGAUAGCAGGUUGAUUGGCAUGUCGGACCCCGCGAACACUGGGAACUGGUAAG